Molecule: ribosomal RNA, 503 nt
Filed under: uncultured bacterium
Lineage: Bacteria
Description: partial 16S ribosomal RNA
Rfam family: Bacterial small subunit ribosomal RNA
Source: RNAcentral
AUUGAACGCUGGCGGCAGGCUUAACACAUGCAAGUCGAGCGGGGUGAUGGUGCUUGCACUAUCACUUAGCGGCGGACGGGUGAGUAAUGCUUAGGAAUCUGCCUAUUAGUGGGGGACAACAUCUCGAAAGGGAUGCUAAUACCGCAUACGUCCUACGGGAGAAAGCAGGGGAUCACUUGUGACCUUGCGCUAAUAGAUGAGCCUAAGUCGGAUUAGCUAGUUGGUGGGGUAAAGGCCUACCAAGGCGACGAUCUGUAGCGGGUCUGAGAGGAUGAUCCGCCACACUGGGACUGAGACACGGCCCAGACUCCUACGGGAGGCAGCAAUGGGGAAUAUUGGACAAUGGGGGGAACCCUGAUCCAGCCAUGCCGCGUGUGUGAAGAAGGCCUUAUGGUUGUAAGGCACUUUAAGCGAGGAGGAGGCUCUUUUGGUUAAUACCCAAGAUGAGUGGACGUUACUCGCAGAAUAAGCACCGGCUAACUCUGUGCCAGCAGCCGCCGUAA